This 1372-nucleotide ribosomal RNA is filed under the name uncultured bacterium. Its description in RNAcentral is "bacterial SSU rRNA". It matches the Rfam family "Bacterial small subunit ribosomal RNA", at positions 28 to 1381 of the family's 1533-position model. The record is from RNAcentral.
GAUGAACGCUGGCGGCGUGCCUAAUACAUGCAAGUCGAGCGAACGGACGAGAAGCUUGCUUCUCUGAUGUUAGCGGCGGACGGGUGAGUAACACGUGGAUAACCUACCUAUAAGACUGGGAUAACUUCGGGAAACCGGAGCUAAUACCGGAUAAUAUUUUGAACCGCAUGGUUCAAAAGUGAAAGACGGUCUUGCUGUCACUUAUAGAUGGAUCCGCGCUGCAUUAGCUAGUUGGUAAGGUAACGGCUUACCAAGGCAACGAUGCAUAGCCGACCUGAGAGGGUGAUCGGCCACACUGGAACUGAGACACGGUCCAGACUCCUACGGGAGGCAGCAGUAGGGAAUCUUCCGCAAUGGGCGAAAGCCUGACGGAGCAACGCCGCGUGAGUGAUGAAGGUCUUCGGAUCGUAAAACUCUGUUAUUAGGGAAGAACAUAUGUGUAAGUAACUGUGCACAUCUUGACGGUACCUAAUCAGAAAGCCACGGCUAACUACGUGCCAGCAGCCGCGGUAAUACGUAGGUGGCAAGCGUUAUCCGGAAUUAUUGGGCGUAAAGCGCGCGUAGGCGGUUUUUUAAGUCUGAUGUGAAAGCCCACGGCUCAACCGUGGAGGGUCAUUGGAAACUGGAAAACUUGAGUGCAGAAGAGGAAAGUGGAAUUCCAUGUGUAGCGGUGAAAUGCGCAGAGAUAUGGAGGAACACCAGUGGCGAAGGCGACUUUCUGGUCUGUAACUGACGCUGAUGUGCGAAAGCGUGGGGAUCAAACAGGAUUAGAUACCCUGGUAGUCCACGCCGUAAACGAUGAGUGCUAAGUGUUAGGGGGUUUCCGCCCCUUAGUGCUGCAGCUAACGCAUUAAGCACUCCGCCUGGGGAGUACGACCGCAAGGUUGAAACUCAAAGGAAUUGACGGGGACCCGCACAAGCGGUGGAGCAUGUGGCUUAAUUCGAAGCAACGCGAAGAACCUUACCAAAUCUUGACAUCCUUCGACAACUCUAGAGAUAGAGCCUUCCCCUUCGGGGGACAAAGUGACAGGUGGUGCAUGGUUGUCGUCAGCUCGUGUCGUGAGAUGUUGGGUUAAGUCCCGCAACGAGCGCAACCCUUAAGCUUAGUUGCCAUCAUUAAGUUGGGCACUCUAAGUUGACUGCCGGUGACAAACCGGAGGAAGGUGGGGAUGACGUCAAAUCAUCAUGCCCCUUAUGAUUUGGGCUACACACGUGCUACAAUGGACAAUACAAAGGGCAGCGAAACCGCGAGGUCAAGCAAAUCCCAUAAAGUUGUUCUCAGUUCGGAUUGUAGUCUGCAACUCGACUACAUGAAGCUGGAAUCGCUAGUAAUCGUAGAUCAGCAUGCUACGGUGAAUACGUUCCCGGGUCU